GACCAUUUAGGUGGCCUUAGUGGUUAGAGCAUCUGUCUCAGAUGCAGGAUGUCGUGGGCUCAAACCCCAGCGAAGUCU
Potamilus streckersoni is the source of this 78-nucleotide non-coding RNA. The record is from the annotation of a GenBank genome assembly. Lineage: Eukaryota; Metazoa; Mollusca; Bivalvia; Unionida; Unionidae.